This 393-nucleotide ribosomal RNA is filed under the name uncultured bacterium. RNAcentral's name for it is "bacterial SSU rRNA". It matches the Rfam family "Bacterial small subunit ribosomal RNA", at positions 29 to 416 of the family's 1533-position model. The record is from RNAcentral.
AUUGAACGCUGGCGGCAUGCCUUACACAUGCAAGUCGAGCGCGAAAGGGGGCAACCCCGAGUAGAGCGGCGGACGGGUGAGUAACACAUCGGAACGUGCCCAGUAGUGGGGGACAACCUCGAGAAAUCGAGGCUAAUACCGCAUACGACCCACGGGUGAAAGCGGGGGACCCAAAGGAAACUGAGGGCCUCGCGCUAUUGGAGCGGCCGAUGUCCGAUUAGCUAGUUGGCGGGGUAAGAGCCCACCAAGGCGACGAUCGGUAGCUGGUCUGAGAGGACGACCAGCCACACUGGGACUGAGACACGGCCCAGACUCCUACGGGAGGCAGCAGUGGGGAAUUUUGGACAAUGGGGGCAACCCUGAUCCAGCCAUGCCGCGUGCGGGAAGAAGGCC